CGGACACGGACACGGACACGGACGUCCCAUCCGGUCCCAUUCGAGCUCCCCCGUAACCCCGGGCCGGGGGUGGGGGGCGGCAGUUCCCGGUAAAUGACGGCGAUAACGGCGGAGCCCCAAAGCCGCACUGCGGCCCGGGCCGGCCCCGACUGAGGCGGGUGGCGGCAGCGCCAGCCCGGCGUUGGGAACGGCGGCGCGCAAAGCCGCAGGCGGUGUAAGGACCCGCUUUCCCGGUAGCGGCCGUCGCUCAAGAGUCACAUCAAACCAUCUGCCAGUCACCUCCCUUGCCUUUCUGGACCAUCCACAGCAGAGCCUGGGAAGAAUUUCUGCCUGUGAUUCUCAGAGGUAUCUAGUCAGUUCCCAGAGCUAAGUUCCUGGUGAAGAUGUGCCAGGCAUCUUCAAAAGGAAUUUGUUGCCUCUUACAGUGUACUGGAGCUGGGAUUCAGAGACUUUUUUUGCUAGAUCAUGUAGUAACUCCCAGCGUAGAAGAGCAUGGACUUCCAUCAGCACAGACUGUCAUAAACCAAAGGACAAAAUCCACAGACUGGGAACUGUGCUAGAGAGCUAGCUUCAAGUCUAUAAAAUUGCAAGUGUCCGUGUGUGACAGAUCCUAAAUAUUGAACACAAACAUUAGUAUUUACACUGGAGGUUGGGAAUAGACUCCUUCAAAGGCAAAGCCACAGGUGGCAAGGGUAAGAUGUAGCAACUAUCCCUGUAAGACCUGGGACAGCGUGAAGGAUAACUUUGGCAGGAUCUGUUCAAAAGCUGUUUUGUCUAGUUUUCCAUCUUUGUUUUUUUUCUUUUCUUUCCAGGAGUGGGCAGACAGUCUGGGGUGGGUUUUUUGCUGUUUUUGAACAAUGCACACUGAAGCAGGAGCUCAAGUAUAAGACAAAGACUGUUUUCAAAAUGGUUAGGUUUUACUGCCUGGUGAUAUUUUUUCGAAGUACAUUUACUGAAGAUUUAUGUAAAAUCUAUCUUUUGUCUACUUAAAAUAUGUCAAAUGGAUGUACAGGGCAAAAUUUAAUGCAUAUGGGUUUUCAUUAUUUUAAAUCAUUUGCAAUAUAAAUGAUUUACUAUGACAUCAGACAUUUGUUCUUUGGCUGUCCACCAUAAAUUGAGGCCCACCCAAAUUUCCACUCUUAGCUAUAUUUCUGCAUUCCCUCCCCCAGUAUCUAUAAUCUCAGUUCUGUGAUUCUUCAUGUAAAUGACUUUCUACAAGGAAAGGAAGAGAACAUAUAAUUUGCCUUAAUACAGGUAAUUUUGAAAGAGGAGCAAGACCUUUACAUGAGAAAUAGUUGACAGCCACGGAGAGAGGAGAACUAACGCUCAGAGAACAGAAAGUAAUUCUUGAUGAGAGUGGCGAGAGCUACUGAUCAACCAGAUGUGACCAAAUGGACUUUUUGUGCAGUUGAAACUGCCAGAGGUGAUAGACUUCUAUCUUUCUCUUUCUGAAUUUUUUCAUGUCUUUUUAGUCCCCUUAUAUUUAUAAUGCAAUUAAUCUAACUCUGGCCAGUUAAUGUUGUAGGCGACCGUUUGGAAAACUGAGGUAUUAGGGUAAGUCAGGUUCCCCAAGGUCAUUCUGAAAGUCCAUGGUGAAAAAACUAGUGACACCUGACAUGCAGAAUUGUGCUUUCAUGACAGACUUUGUCCCAACAGCUAUAAAAAUCUUGAAACACUCAAGACUUUUUGAAAGACCAUGUGGAAAACUGCAUUCGUUAUCAUGUUUGGUGGUUGUCUUAUGACAGUUAACGGGAUACAGACCUUUGGACUCAUCAAUAGCCUAUAUUUGAAGCCUUCUCUGCUCAGCAGUUACUGAAAAUUGUUACCCAAUAGCUCUUCAGUGGCCUACACUAUAAGAAUUAAACACCUGAACUCAGCCCAGUUUCUCAUCCAUGGAUGUCAUCUCAAAACCUACUAGGUCAACAGACUCUGCUGAGACUCUAAUUUCUACUCAUGGAAUUGAAAGACAGUUAAGUCUGAACCAAACAUUGUAUUUUUGCAAACUUCCCCCACGCACACCACAUAAUCUCAGUCUUGACGCAACUCCCUUCCCGCUCUGUCAAAGGAUUUAACUUUUUUCACAAUUUCAUGCAUUAUUGCUCAUGCAUGUACUUUUAAGAAAACCUCCGAAAUUUGACAUGCCUAAAGAUUUGUAGCAAUUCUGAGCAAUAUCAUAAACUACAGCAACAUCCUAAGGGGAAUCUUACUUCUGACAUCCAGGCUAUCUGUCCAAUCCUAUAGCUACAGUGUGUCUGACAAUGCCCGUUUAUCUCUGUUUGCUGUCUUUCCCACAGUGCUAGUCCUAAACCAAACAACAGCACUGCCAACAAUCUUAACCUUGAAAUCAGAGCAGGGUUAGAUGAUGUGGUGGGCCUGCAUGUGCUUGCCUUCAUUCUAGCUUCCAGUAGCUCUACCACGAUGAGAUCCAAUUGAGAAAAUCUCAGUGUAGUUCUGAUUUAUGUGCAAAAGUGCAGAGGAGAGCAGAAGCUUUUAGUAUCUUGGGAAGUAGUUAAGAAUUAAGGCCAAAGAAAGGACAGUCAUGUCAAUUACAUCCUAAAAAAAGAAAACUUAAGUGAAAGUCCUGGCUCCUGAACUGUUUCUGGGCUGGCAGAUGUUCACAGUUCUCUUGGCAGAUACUGUAGAAAGCUAAUGGGCCCAUUUAGAUCCCCUCCCUUACACAACGGCAUUGGUUUUACAAUUUUGAGGGAGGCCUGGUGGGGCUGUGAAAUUUCAGCAUUUUUCCUGAAAUGAAAUUAGGGAAUGCAUUUAAUAUUUUAAGAUCUCUGAUGAUCUCUUGUCAGGAAUCUCCACUGAACCCGGCACUUUACUCCAGAUGCGGCUGAGGGAAGAAAAUCUCAUGUGAAGUGCAAGGCUGACACCUGGAGGGGACUGCUGAGAUGCAGCUAGGGGAGUCUGGAGGAGUUAGGGAUUCUGUAACACAAGAGGUUGGGUUAGGAAAGUCCAGAGGGAGUAGCAAGAUCCCAGGUUUUGAAACUGCUCUUUUCUAGUGAAGAGGUGCUUUAGAUAUUCUUCCCUCUUCCCUUUUCCAACAAUAAAGAAAAAUCCAGAUUUCUAUUUCAUAUUUGCCAUGUCUAUUUUUAGGAGUGGAGAAGAACAUAGAAGCAAACUCUGUGUCAUCUAGUUAUUCACUUCUUCCAUGUUCAGGAAUAUUUGGAUCAAAACUUACCUUGCUCAAUAAGCUGCUACAAAUAAUGCAAGGUUAUUUUUUCAGUCGGUUAGUCUAAUGUAUUUGAGUUGCUGUAUUUCAGACUUCCUGCUGCUUUACCAUUUGUGUAACUCUGUGCUCUGAGUUUCUGCAGUACAGACUUGCAGGGCAAUUCCUACUGUCAAAGCUGCAGCUGGAAGAUUUGGCGUUAGGUAGAGCUUGCUCUUUUCAUGUCUGACUCUGCCAGCACCCAUGGUAAGGCUUUUCUUGAAGGUGAUCCUAAUCAAGGAAUGCAAGGCAGCUUCUGGGACAAAGUCUUCAUGCUUUCAGAAGCUUGCUUUCCAGCCUGGCAAUCACCCAUUCAUAGCACUUACUCAAAUCUUUCAGUAAUCUCUCUUCUCUUCCAGGAAUUGUCUCAGUAUUUGUGAAUAUUGGUUUUGCUUGAUCUAAUUUUAGAAUAUGUUAAUAACUGAGUUAUUUACUGUGCUGGCAUUACCAUACACUUAGUAUCUCAUGAACCCAAAGAUAAUAUGUCCGUUACAUCUCCUUAAUUCUCUUUGUCAUUGCCAGUGUGGCUCCAAUCAUCGUAAACUUUGCUUAGCAGUGAAUAGUUGUUUAUGGAAAUGAAAAAAACCCAAAACCAACAAAAAAACCCCAACAACCAACAGUUAUUUUCAGAAUUCUUAUAUGCAAUUCUACUAAUCCACCUGCAGUACACCUCCCCAAGUCUCCAUAUGUCUUCACUGGUGCACCUCAAUACUGACUGACUGCAUGUCUUCUUUCCCUUCUAGCCUUCAGACUCCUCUAAAAUAUCACCAAUAUUCAGUUCAUCCUGAUGAGCAUACUAAACUACUCCGUACAUUCCCCACCCAGACCAGCUUAAUGGGUAAGCCAUGAAAAUACUUGCUUCAGUCUGGGGAGUAGAAGAGAGGCAUGUUGCCAACUUCAGUAGCAGCACAAAACAUUCAGUGUGCUGGAGGUACUUCUUUUCAGCCCAGAGACCUGGGAAGUCUAAUGCUAUAUCUGUGGCUACUGUUUCUUCAGCGCUUCUCAUUAACUGUGGCAUGACUCUAAAGAGGCAGUAACAUUUUCCCCCCUCCUCCACCUCAACAAUACUGCCAACGCUGGAUUGUCAGUUAUGCUGAAUUAUACUGGAUCAUUUGUGGUUUUUCAGUGAUGUAGACAAAUACCAACUCAAGAUCAAGGGUGAACCCUGGCUGCUAAACUUGCUUCACUUGUGACUCAUUCCAGACUUAAAACCUGGCUCUUGCUGACAUUUUAUUAACCCAAUUUGUCAUCCUCCUAACCCCCAUUAUCCAACCCAGGCAGAUUAUUUACUUUGAAAAGAUGUGUAGAUAGCUUCCAUGCGAAUCAUAAGUAGAUCCAGGUGCCAUAGCUAGAUUCCAGAGGGAGCUAUAGUCAUAAGAUACAUGUGCUAGCAAAAUAACUUCUGUCCUAGAUGCUUCAAAACUCAGUGACAUUCUUCUUGUUUAGAUGUUGUCUGGACUCCCAUUCCUGCAAAGCAGCCUGGCACCAAUAUGGUAAAGUGCCUAAGUACAUGCCUUCAGGCCUGUGCAUGGUCCAAAAGAGAUCAACAAAGAUAAGUGAUUGCUGGGGACACUGGAGGGCACUGAAGUUUAUAGAAAAAGGAACACUAUAAUGAAGCUUUAUUGGGAUGGCAUCACCAAACAAUUGCUGUGAUAGCAACACUCCCAAGCUUGGAAAAGUGCCAGCAUUCCCCCCCUGGAACUGACUCAGACACUAGCCUCUCUGGCUCAGGACUGACGCAGAAAAUGGAUGCUUUCUGGCUCAUAAAAUGGCCUCUUUCCGGCUUGGAAAUGACAGAGGAACUGUCCACUUCUGAUUUGGAAAGGACUUGGGAACUGGUCUUUCUCCGUUGAACAAUGACUUUGAAACGCACCUUUUUUUUGCUUCAUUCUGACUUGAAACUAUAAAAGUGUUUUUUUAAAUUUGGCCAGGACUAGACAGAAAGAAGAAAGAUGAUUUUACCAGCUCUAUACAAUAGCAGAGUUUGUUAAAGGCUUCAGUGGGAAUUAGAAAACCAAGGCUGCAAGUAGAAUAGAUGAUCUUUCCAUCUCAAAGAUCAAACCCAGUUAAGAUGAGAGUGUAUUUGGAAAAAAACGUACUAUGGUGUGGGGUUAUUGAGUAUCUAUAACUUACACAGAAGACAUGGAGCAUUAUCCAAGAAUACAAAUAGCAAUCCAGACUUACUCACUCUAAAAUUAAAAAAAAAAAAACCCACCACAAAAACCUCAAAUGACAGUGGGACUGAACCGACAAACUCCAAAUUCAAGCACCCCAAACUACAGAGAAUUUCAAACUCGGAUUCAAGCUGGAUCCUGCAUGUACAUCCACAGGGUCAGCUAUUGCAGUCGUUACAAGCCAGUGGUGCAAGAAGGUGCUCCACAUUUCAUGUGCAGAGUCCAACAUUUUCCAUUGGAAGUCUGCCUUUAGAUUCACUGCUGUGGUCCCUAUAUAUUUCAGUUGUGUUUCUCCAAGUUAUGACUAUUGGGCAACUAAUGUGACUUUGAGUGUAAUUUAACAGCAUCAUCCAUGGUGGGGUGGGAAGGGAAAAUAUAAUCCCAAAUUAGUGCGUAACUGGCUUCUAGGGAACUUGACUGGGAUAAAAGGAUGGUUUUUCUUCCAAAACAGAAUGACAAUGCCAAAUUUUACAUUAUAUUGCAUUUUGUCCUCUGCAAUUCCUGUAUUGGGAUCUGAGAUCAGAAAGUUAUUUUGAGAACAAUAGUGACUUUAAUGUAUUGCCUGCUCUUAAAUGUUUUUUUUCCUAAGUCUCCUCAUCUUCUGAAAUCAUACUAUAAUAAAUCGCAAUGUCAGCUUUGCUUUAAAAAAA
Aquila chrysaetos chrysaetos is the source of this 6038-nucleotide long non-coding RNA. RefSeq lists it as uncharacterized. Lineage: Eukaryota; Metazoa; Chordata; Aves; Accipitriformes; Accipitridae. The record is from RefSeq and is a predicted model, not a curated record. The transcript is spliced from 3 exons.